This 465-nucleotide ribosomal RNA is filed under the name uncultured Klebsiella sp. RNAcentral describes it as "bacterial SSU rRNA". It matches the Rfam family "Bacterial small subunit ribosomal RNA", at positions 338 to 795 of the family's 1533-position model. Lineage: Bacteria; Pseudomonadati; Pseudomonadota; Gammaproteobacteria; Enterobacterales; Enterobacteriaceae. The record is from RNAcentral.
CCUACGGGGGGCUGCAGUGGGGAAUAUUGCACAAUGGGCGCAAGCCUGAUGCAGCCAUGCCGCGUGUGUGAAGAAGGCCUUCGGGUUGUAAAGCACUUUCAGCGGGGAGGAAGGCGGUGAGGUUAAUAACCUCAUCGAUUGACGUUACCCGCAGAAGAAGCACCGGCUAACUCCGUGCCAGCAGCCGCGGUAAUACGGAGGGUGCAAGCGUUAAUCGGAAUUACUGGGCGUAAAGCGCCCGCAGGCGGUCUGUCAAGUCGGAUGUGAAAUCCCCGGGCUCAACCUGGGAACUGCAUUCGAAACUGGCAGGCUAGAGUCUUGUAGAGGGGGGUAGAAUUCCAGGUGUAGCGGUGAAAUGCGUAGAGAUCUGGAGGAAUACCGGUGGCGAAGGCGGCCCCCUGGACAAAGACUGACGCUCAGGUGCGAAAGCGUGGGGAGCAAACAGGAUUAGAUACCCGGGUAGUC